RNAcentral lists this unclassified non-coding RNA (209 nucleotides) under fungal sp. RNAcentral describes it as "partial internal transcribed spacer region". The stretch from base 1 to 46 matches the Rfam family "Eukaryotic small subunit ribosomal RNA", at positions 1786 to 1831 of the family's 1831-position model. The record is from RNAcentral. RNAcentral also lists the same sequence under 1 other name. Lineage: Eukaryota; Fungi.
AAGUCGUAACAAGGUCUCCGUUGGUGAACCAGCGGAGGGAUCAUUACAGAGUUGCAAAACUCCCAACCCUUUGUGAACGAACCUACCAGUUGCCUCGGCGGCGAGCCCCCUGGGCGAACCGCCGGAGGAAUACAAACUCUUUGCAUUAUAGUAUCUCUGAUUACUUAUUCAAUAAGUUAAAACUUUCAACAACGGAUCUCUUGGUUCUG